This 496-nucleotide ribosomal RNA is filed under the name uncultured bacterium. RNAcentral describes it as "partial 16S ribosomal RNA". It matches the Rfam family "Bacterial small subunit ribosomal RNA", at positions 29 to 507 of the family's 1533-position model. The record is from RNAcentral.
AUGCACGCUGGCGGCGUGCCUAAUACAUGCAAGUCGAGCGAACAGAUGAGGAGCUUGCUCCUCUGACGUUAGCGGCGGACGGGUGAGUAACACGUGGAUAACCUACCUAUAAGACUGGGAUAACUUCGGGAAACCGGAGCUAAUACCGGAUAAUAUAUUGAACCGCAUGGUUCAAUAGUGAAAGACGGUUUUGCUGUCACUUAUAGAUGGAUCCGCGCUGCAUUAGCUAGUUGGUAAGGUAACGGCUUACCAAGGCAACGAUGCGUAGCCGACCUGAGAGGGUGAUCGGCCACACUGGAACUGAGACACGGUCCAGACUCCUACGGGAGGCAGCAGUAGGGAAUCUUCCGCAAUGGGCGAAAGCCUGACGGAGCAACGCCGCGUGAGUGAUGAAGGUCUUCGGAUCGUAAAACUCUGUUAUUAGGGAAGAACAAAUGUGUAAGUAACUAUGCACGUCUUGACGGUACCUAAUCAGAAAGCCACGGCUAACUACGUG